This 253-nucleotide ribosomal RNA is filed under the name uncultured bacterium. RNAcentral describes it as "partial 16S ribosomal RNA". It matches the Rfam family "Bacterial small subunit ribosomal RNA", at positions 524 to 776 of the family's 1533-position model. The record is from RNAcentral.
UACGUAGGGGGCAAGCGUUAUCCGGAUUUACUGGGUGUAAAGGGGGCGCAGACGGCGAUGCAAGCCAGGAGUGAAAGCCCGGGGCCCAACCCCGGGACUGCUCUUGGAACUGCGUGGCUGGAGUGCAGGAGGGGCAGGCGGAAUUCCUAGUGUAGCGGUGAAAUGCGUAGAUAUUAGGAGGAACACCAGUGGCGAAGGCGGUCUGCUGGACAGCAACUGACGCUGAGGCGCGAAAGCGUGGGGAGCAAACAGG